CCUACGGGUGGCUGCAGUGAGGAAUAUUGGUCAAUGGUCGGGAGACUGAACCAGCCAAGCCGCGUGAGGGAGGAAGGUACAGAGUAUCGUAAACCUCUUUUGUCAGGGAACAAAGACUGGGACGCGUCCCCGGAUGAGUGUACCUGAAGAAAAAGCAUCGGCUAACUCCGUGCCAGCAGCCGCGGUAAUACGGAGGAUGCGAGCGUUAUCCGGAGUUAUUGGGGUUAAAGGGUGCGCAGGCGGUCUGUUCAGUCAGCGGUAAAAGCCUGGGGCUCAACCCCGGACCGCCGUUGAAACUGGCAGUCUCGAGUUGGAGAGAAGUAUGCGGAAUGCGCGGUGUAGCGGUGAAAUGCAUAGAUAUCGCGCAGAACUCCGAUUGCGAAGGCAGCAUGCCGGCUCCACACUGACGCUGAGGCACGAAAGCGUGGGUAUCGAACAGGAUUAGAUACCCGGGUAGUC
This 459-nucleotide ribosomal RNA is filed under the name uncultured bacterium. RNAcentral's name for it is "partial 16S ribosomal RNA". It matches the Rfam family "Bacterial small subunit ribosomal RNA", at positions 338 to 795 of the family's 1533-position model. The record is from RNAcentral.